This 253-nucleotide ribosomal RNA is filed under the name uncultured bacterium. RNAcentral describes it as "partial 16S ribosomal RNA". It matches the Rfam family "Bacterial small subunit ribosomal RNA", at positions 524 to 776 of the family's 1533-position model. The record is from RNAcentral.
GACAGAGGCCCCAAGCGUUAGGCGGAAUCACUGGGCUUAAAGCGUGUGUAGGCGGACGCCUAAGUGUCUUGUGAAAUCCCACGGCUCACCCGUGGAACUGCUGGGCAUACUGGCGAUCUUGGGCCAACUAGGGGCAGCCGGAACAAGCGGUGGAGCGGUGAAAUGCGUAGAUAUCGCUUGGAACGCCGAAGGUGAAAACAGGCUGCUGGGGUUGCGCCGACGCUGAGACACGAAAGCCAGGGGAGCAAACGGG